This 266-nucleotide ribosomal RNA is filed under the name uncultured bacterium. RNAcentral describes it as "partial 16S ribosomal RNA". It matches the Rfam family "Bacterial small subunit ribosomal RNA", at positions 524 to 790 of the family's 1533-position model. The record is from RNAcentral.
UACGAAGGGGGCUAGCGUUGCUCGGAAUCACUGGGCGUAAAGCGCACGUAGGCGGACUCUUAAGUCGGUGGUGAAAUCCUGGAGCUCAACUCCAGAACUGCCUUCGAUACUGAGAGUCUUGAGUCCGGGAGAGGUGAGUGGAACUGCGAGUGUAGAGGUGAAAUUCGUAGAUAUUCGCAAGAACACCAGUGGCGAAGGCGGCUCACUGGCCCGGUACUGACGCUGAGGUGCGAAAGCGUGGGGGCGAAACAGGAUUAGAUCCCCGA